UACAGAGGGUGCGAGCGUUAAUCGGAAUUACUGGGCGUAAAGCGUGCGUAGACGGUUAUUUAAGUCGGGUGUGAAAGCCCCGGGCUCAACCUGGGAAUUGCAUUCGAGACUGAAUAGCUAGGGUACGGUAGAGGGAAGUGGAAUUUCCGGUGUAGCGGUGAAAUGCGUAGAUAUCAGGAGGAACACCGGUGGCGAAGGCGGUUCUCUGGGCAUGUCCUGACGCUGAGGAGCGAAAGUGUGGGGAGCGAACAGG
Molecule: ribosomal RNA, 253 nt
Filed under: uncultured bacterium
Lineage: Bacteria
Description: partial 16S ribosomal RNA
Rfam family: Bacterial small subunit ribosomal RNA
Source: RNAcentral